RNAcentral lists this ribosomal RNA (430 nucleotides) under uncultured bacterium. RNAcentral's name for it is "partial 16S ribosomal RNA". It matches the Rfam family "Bacterial small subunit ribosomal RNA", at positions 29 to 506 of the family's 1533-position model. The record is from RNAcentral.
AACGAACGCUGGCGGCAGGCCUAACACAUGCAAGUCGAGCGCCCCGCCAGGGGAGCGGCGGACGGGUGAGUAACGCGUGGGAAUAUGCCCUUUGCUACGGAAUAGUCUCGGGAAACUGGGGGUAAUACCGUAUACGCCCUUUGGGGGAAAGAUUUAUCGGCGAAGGAUUAGCCCGCGUUGGAUUAGGUAGUUGGUGGGGUAAUGGCCUACCAAGCCGACGAUCCAUAGCUGGUUUGAGAGGAUGAUCAGCCACACUGGGACUGAGACACGGCCCAGACUCCUACGGGAGGCAGCAGUGGGGAAUCUUAGACAAUGGGGGCAACCCUGAUCUAGCCAUGCCGCGUGAGUGAUGAAGGCCUUAGGGUUGUAAAGCUCUUUCAGCUGGGAAGAUAAUGACGGUACCAGCAGAAGAAGCCCCGGCUAACUCCGU